AUUGUAGUCAUAUGCUUGUCUCAAAGAUUAAGCCAUGCAUGUCUAAGUAUAAGCAAUUAUACCGCGAAACUGCGAAUGGCUCAUUAAAUCAGUUAUCGUUUAUUUGAUAGUACCUUACUACAUGGAUAACCGUGGUAAUUCUAGAGCUAAUACAUGCUAAAAAUCCCGACUUCGGAAGGGAUGUAUUUAUUAGAUUAAAAACCAAUGCCCUUCGGGGCUCCUUGGUGAUUCAUAAUAACUUCUCGAAUCGCACGGCCUUGCGCCGGCGAUGGUUCAUUCAAAUUUCUGCCCUAUCAACUUUCGACGGCUGGGUCUUGGCCAGCCAUGGUGACAACGGGUAACGGAGGGUUAGGGCUCGACCCCGGAGAAGGAGCCUGAGAAACGGCUACUACAUCCAAGGAAGGCAGCAGGCGCGCAAAUUACCCAAUCCCGACUCGGGGAGGUAGUGACAAUAAAUACUGAUACAGGGCUCUUUUGGGUCUUGUAAUUGGAAUGAGUACAAUUUAAAUCCCUUAACGAGGAACAAUUGGAGGGCAAGUCUGGUGCCAGCAGCCAAUC
This 558-nucleotide ribosomal RNA is filed under the name uncultured fungus. RNAcentral describes it as "SSU rRNA". It matches the Rfam family "Eukaryotic small subunit ribosomal RNA", at positions 21 to 584 of the family's 1831-position model. The record is from RNAcentral. Lineage: Eukaryota; Fungi.